This 517-nucleotide ribosomal RNA is filed under the name Staphylococcus aureus. Its description in RNAcentral is "bacterial SSU rRNA". It matches the Rfam family "Bacterial small subunit ribosomal RNA", at positions 703 to 1219 of the family's 1533-position model. The record is from RNAcentral. Lineage: Bacteria; Bacillati; Bacillota; Bacilli; Caryophanales; Staphylococcaceae.
AGGUGGACGAUGGCGAGGCGACUUUCUGGUCUGUACUGACGCUGAUGUGCGAAAGCGUGGGGAUCAAACAGGAUUAGAUACCCUGGUAUUCCACGCCGUAAACCAUGAAAGCUAAGUGUUAGGGGGUUUCCGCCCCUUAUUGCUGCAGCUAACGCAUUAAGCACUCCGCCUGGGGAGUACGACCGCAAGGUUGAAACUCAAAGGAAUUGACGGGGACCCGCACAAGCGGUGGAGCAUGUGGUUUAAUUCAAAGCAACGCGAAGAACCUUACCAAAUCUUGACAUCCUUUGACAACUCUAGAGAUAGAGCCUUCCCCUUCGGGGGACAAAGUGACAGGUGGUGCAUGGUUGUCGUCAGCUCGUGUCGUGAGAUGUUGGGUUAAGUCCCGCAACGAGCGCAACCCUUAAGCUUACUUGCCAUCAUUAAGUUGGGCACUCUAAGUUUACUGCCGGUGACAAACCGGAGGAACGUUUUGAUGAUGGCAACGCAUAAAGCCCCUUGUUAUUUGGCUCUACAC